Molecule: long non-coding RNA, 953 nt
Organism: Leguminivora glycinivorella
Lineage: Eukaryota; Metazoa; Arthropoda; Insecta; Lepidoptera; Tortricidae
Exons: 2
Source: RefSeq, a predicted model, not a curated record
AUGAGCAUGAAUCGAUUGUGAAAUUGUAUUUACGUGACUUUAUGAACAUUUGUUCAAGUUUUUUGGCAGAGGGGUAAGUAACUGAAAGGCUACUCCAGUCUAUAUUUCCUCCGAGGGCGCUGCCUUUUUACGACCAUUGAAUGGAAAUUGUAGACUUGAAAUACGAGUAGAUUAAAUUUCGUGUAUUUUUAGCAUCAGAAAGAACUUCGCUAGGGUUUACUUAUAUGAAAUAGUUUUGAAUAUUUAUUCCAAAUAACAUGAGUACAGAUGUAGUGGGAAAAGAUUUGCCUUACAUGACAAAUACGAAGGAAACCCUUUUCGCACUACAUAUGUAAUUCAGUCAGUAGUAGUUAUUCUAAUGAUAUCAGUACUAAUUACUUUAAUCAAAAUUCGUGUAAAUAUAACCAUUGCUUAUAUUUGUACUGCAUUAGUUAGAUUAUUUGAUGUACAAGUUAUUUUCUGUAGACAAUAGGCAUGAAUUCGCGGGUUCAAUGUUAUCAUAAGUGAAAACAACCUUGUAUUGUAAAUUGUAACAUAACAUAAUUCACAAUUUGUGAGUGUGUUUGACUCUUAUUUCUGAAGUCUAAGAUAACGAAAAGAUUUUCCGAGUAAAUGGAAGCGUGUAAUAUAUCUUUGGACUGAAGAGCAAUUGCUUUUCGGUUAAGUAAUAUACGUUAUGGUGGUCUCCUGGAUUGAAGUAUGAGCUAUUGUAUUUUAUUAAUUAUUAGAAAUAUGUUUUAACUAAGAUAUGCCAUUUUAUUUUAUUAAUAUUAUUUUGGGUUAAUUAACGUAAAUCAUGUUAUAUGUAGGUAAUGCACCUGUCGAAACCGAGCGGAUAUUCGCAGCAUACGCUUCAAUGAUGCAUAUGAAACGGGAUAACAUAAAUAUAAGUAAUGUAAAACUGUUUUUAUUUAAAAUUAUGAUGUGUGUCGAUUAAAUUAUGUGUAAGCAUA